This is a long non-coding RNA of Nyctereutes procyonoides (raccoon dog), 4922 nucleotides long. RefSeq lists it as uncharacterized. Lineage: Eukaryota; Metazoa; Chordata; Mammalia; Carnivora; Canidae. The transcript is spliced from 5 exons. The record is from RefSeq and is a predicted model, not a curated record.
CAGAUUAGAAAAAAAACUUCUACAUAGAGAUAUAGAGGUAAAUGAAUAAAAUUUCAAAACUGUUAUAUAGAGAUUAAAUCCAAGGAAACACAUUUUUAUGACAGAUUUUUAAAAUAUGUGAGAAAACAAAAUCUUUUCCAACAUUUGGUCACCUUAAUUAUCAUUUCUUGCAAAAAUUAAGUUCAAGAUAUAACCAAGAGGGGUGAAAACCACAAGUCGUACCCUCAAACAUUUACUUCUAAUCAAUUUACAAUCUAACCACUUCCAGUCAUUAUGACUAUGAACUGGCCUCCUCUCCCUUAAGUAAGGCCAACACUUAGAAAUGUUUAGUUUUCAGAGCCCCAUUUAUUCAACACCAAAUGAAUUUACAUUAUAUUAGAUAUGGCCAAUGUAUAAGCAAUUGCAUGACUGAUGUCUUUUGACAUCAUUACUCUUUAUUCCUCCUAAUCCAUUUAUUUGCAGCUAAUAAAACUAAGGGUCUGACUCUACUUCUUUAAUUUUUUUUUAAUUUAUUUAUGAUAGGCACACAGUGAGAGAGAGAGAGAGAGGCAGAGACACAGGCAGAGGGAGAAGCAGGCUCCAUGCACCGGGAGCCCGACGUGGGAUUCGAUCCCGGGUCUCCAGGAUCGUGCCCUGGGCCAAAGGCAGGCGCUAAACCACUGCGCCACCCAGGGAUCCCCUCUGACUCUACUUCUAUAAAUUCCAAGAAACCGUGCAAUUAUUUUCAUUAUUGUCAGUGCUUUAUAUUUUUAUUUUUUAAAGAUUUUAUUUAUGUAUUCAUGAGAGACACAGAGAGAGAGGCAAAGACAUAGGCAGAGAGAGGAGUAGGCUCCUUGCAGGGAGCCCAAUGUGGGACUCGAUUCCAGGACUCCAGGAUCAUGCCCUGGGCUGAAGGCAGGUGCUCAAUCGCUGAGCCACCCAGGCGUCCCUGUCAGUGCUUUAAAUCAACAUAGUGAUUUAGCCUGGAAACUGAAUUUAUGACACUAAGUUCUACAUCAUGAGGUUGUCUGUUAUUAGAAGUGUUUUUUUUUUCUUUUUUAGAGAAAGGGGGGGAGGGGCAGAGGAAGAGAGAGAAACCCAAACAGUCUCCAUACCCAUUGCACAGACUGCCUAAGAGGGGCUCUGAUCUCACAACCCUGAGGCUAUAACCUGAGCUGAAAUCAAGAGCUGGAUGCCCAACUGGCUGAGCUACCCAUGUGCCUCAGGAAUGUAAGCUUUUAAAUACAAUGAUGUGGGUAUUUAUUAGUUCUUGUAGGAUAUAUAAGGAAAAACAGAAAUGAUAAAUGACUCUGCUUUUGCUGGUAAGUGAAUCAUUAAAUUUUUUUUUAUUUUGUAGAUUAACCUUCUUGAGUCCAAGAGCUAUUAUAAAGAUUAAACGAAUUAAUAUUUGUAAAGUGAUUAAAACAGUGCUUACUUCAUAGUAAGAGCUAUGUAAGUGUUUAAGUGAGUAUGUAAAAAUAAAUUUAAGGGCUGAAGCCCAUUUUACAGUUUAAUUUCCAAAGCACUUUACAGACGUAAGGACUCUAUCUGUUAUUUGCAUUUAAGUUCAACUGUAUCUUACAGGCUCUAUGUGUUAGCUAACAGUCUUCUAUAUAGACAUAAAUGCAGUUUUGCACUCACACUCGAUUUACCAGUAAACAAGUAAUUUUUAAGAAGUGCAAAUGUGCUUCUGGAAUAACCAAAGGUCUCCCAAGCACACCCAUAGUAAGGAGCUAAUAGGAUGAAUGUUACAGGUAUCUGCACCACUGUCACAGGCCAUGCCACUGGGAUUUAGUACCAGCCAAAAUCUCAAGCAUAUUCAGUGAAAAUAUCAGGCAUAUUCAUAUUUGGACACAAUGUCAGAAUUCAGCAUCCAGUCAUAUGCAGAAAAAGACACCUGUUCUUUCCACCCAUCACAUUACUUCCUCAGUAAGGUCUUUUCUUUUAGUUUAUUCCAGAAAUAGAUCUUAAGCUGUGAUUUACAAAUUUCCCUCUUCAAGUCAGAACCACCUUCCUUGUAGCUUCUUUUAGUAGAAAACAUUUUAAAUAUAUAGGAAAUUACAUAUAAUCCUCACUACAGGUUUUUUAAUUUUUAAGAUUUAUUUAUUUAUUUUAGAGAGUAGAGACAGAGAGAAAGCACAGGCAUGAGAAGGAGGAGGGGCAUAGGGAGAGACUCUAGCAGAUUCCCGGUGGGGCACAGAGCCUGAUGCAGGGCUGGAUCCCACCAUUCAUCAGAUCACGACCUGAGCGGAGACCAAGAGUAAGUUAUUAACCAACUGAGCCACCCGGGCGCUCCUCUCACUAUAAUUUAAGAAAGUUCACUUCUUGGGAAGAAAAACAUUAGCCUUUGACAGCAAAGGUCUAAAUGAAUAAAACUGAGAACACAAAGUAACCUUCAAAUCUUCUGACAAUUAAAACAAUAUAUAUAUGUGUAUAUAUAUAUUUUAAAUUAUAACUUCUAAUAGAAUAGGAAAGAGGAUACUUGAGAAAGAGGAAAAAAUUUACUUUGUCACUACCUAAUUACCUGUCAGCUCUUUAUACUAAUUUAGUUAUGUGUGGGAGUGGAAGGGAAAGCUUUAGAAUAGCUUUUAAAGUUUAUCAACACAAACUUAUAGUUUGGAAAACUGCGUAAAAUAUCUGAUUUUGCAUAAGGAGAUGCGGCAUGAAGAACAUAAAAAGAUAAAAACGAUGGAAGAAAUCUAAAUGAUUAAGUCUGGAAUUUAUAGUCUCACCAGUUAACUAUAAAAAUAGACAAUUCUUUGGAUAGGAUGACAAACAUGAACAAAAUUCCACAAUACGGAAGAGAAAUCAAGAGCUCAAAAGCGGGGGCGGGGGGGUGCAUAACAAAAACAAGAAACAUGAAUUUUUGAGAAGAAAUGGGUAGGGGGAAAUACAAGAAUAUUUCCACUUAAUAUAUUAAGUGGAAAAACUCAUUGGCUCUCUUCCCUGCAUACCAUUUAGAGAAGAAAAAUAUUUCAGCUCAGAAAUGUUUAUAAAUACUUCUAAAUUAGCAGAGGGUAACAGAUUCUGAUUUAAGAAUAACCACCCACAUAUCAUAGUUUAUAGGUAACAUUUAUUUAAACGAUUUUAUUUAUUUAUUCAUGAGGAGGGGGCGCAGAGACAUAGGCAGAGGGAGAAGCAGGCUCCCCGCAGUCCCCCUCUGAUGCGGGAUUCGAUCCCGGAUCCUACGUUCACGACCUGAGCCGAAGACAGAAGCCAAACCGCUGAGCCACCCAGGCGCCCCUAUAGGUAAUAUUUAACAUAAUGACUAUGAUUGUGUUAAAGAAAGCUAGAUCUGGGACCGAAUACAGCUGACGAGUGAAAAAGAUGCUCCUAAAUUUUCAAGUACCUCCAAAAGCCUUAACUAUCAACUAAUCUUUUUCUUCCUCUUAACUUACUCCAAAAAUAGGUCAGGAGCGAUGAACAUUACUUGCUUUUGCAUAAACGUGGGGCAGGCUAUAUGUAUGUAUGUAUUUAUUUAUGAUAGAGAGAGAGAGAGAGAGAGAGAGAGAGAGAGAGAGAGAGAGAGAGAGACACAGGCAGAGGGAGAAGCAGGCUCCAUGCACCGGGAGCCCGACGUGGGAUUCGAUCCCGGGUCUCCAGGAUCGCGCCCUGGGCCAAAGGCAGGCGCCAAACCGCUGCACCACCCAGGGAUCCCGCAGGCUGUUCUUUAAAAGGCAAAUAUUAAAGUAGAAGGAAAUCCUAUUAGUGUCAAUGUUUCAAGUUCUCUGGAGCAAACGCUGUUCAACACCACAUUAUACUAAUAGUAGUAGUCUUUGUUUCUAGCAAGAGAUAUAAUUUUUAGGUUUCUUGAAAAAAAGAAGGCUAAAAGUUCCAUGGGAAAUCUCAUUUUCUGUGGGCAACAUAAGAGGGAAUCCGGUGGGUCCUGGAGCACAAGUCAAAACAGGUCUUGAACGUUUGCCCACGACUCUAACCUACAAGCUCAAACCAGACCAGCACUAACCAGCAGCAGCCCCCGCAGAGCGGAGGGCGUGGCAGGGCCCUCACUCUUUUGAAGCAAAAGAGCUGAGACAGGCCUCGAGUCCACGGAGCUCCGGUAGGCAGAAGGUGAGAGAAAGUUCCAGUUCCCGCGGUCCUAACCAGAGGACACGCUCCUCCGCUGGCCCAACGGAGGGAGGUAACUUGAUAUUGCAAGUGCUUUUAACCUGAAGGCAGUGAUGUACAUCUGGCGGUCUGUAGUGUUUCCCCCUGAGAGGAGGGAGGUGGAGAAGGAGAGGCAGAGAGAAACUCAAGCAAACUCCAUAUUGAGCGGGGAGCCCAAUGCAGGACUCAGUCUCAGGACCCUGAGAUCAUGACCUGAGCCAAAACCAAGAGUUGGAUGCUUCACUAACUGACUGUGUGACCCAGGUACCCCUAACUCCCUACUGGAAAAACUCUACCAGAAAUAGGGAAGCAGAGGACCUGUUGCUGACCCAGGCUCCAGGCAGAAGGCAGGGUGGAGAAUACUUGAAUGUGGAUCUGGAAGGCAAGCAAAAGACACUAAGCACACUGUCUGAAGAGGUUUUUAAAAGCUACAAUGGGGACUCUUUGGUCAUCUUUUUGUUGGAAGAGGACAGCUGGGGAGACAGAGAUAGCUACAGUUAUUGGAACUAUGACUAAGACAUCAGAGAAGAAAGGUUGCUGGGAUCCUUGCCUUUGUGAAAAUGCGCUUUACACAGCCCAACUUUCUGCCUGGAGGAGAUGGAGCUGCUGCUUCCAAGGAGUCUUGCAGAAUUGGAUAAGAGGCAUAUUACAGGGGGCCAUUAAAGACUUAAAUCCUGAAGAGCUCUCAUGGAAUCCUUUGUACCAUAAGGGAAGAGACUCAGAUCAGGUUUGAUUUGAUAUAGAAAAAAUAAUGAACCGUUUUUACUGUUUCUGAGUGUUGUAACUAAGUAAAGUUCAUAUGGACUCCAGCAGGAAGUGAAUAAAUAAUAGAGAUUUCA